GCAUAAUCUCUGAGGAGAAAAGCAGGGGAUCGCAAGACCUUGCGCUUUUGGAGCGGCCGAUGCCUGAUUAGCUUGUUGGUGAGGUAAAAGCUCACCAAGGCUUCGAUCAGUAGCUGGUCUGAGAGGACGACCAGCCACACUGGGACUGAGACACGGCCCAGACUCCUACGGGAGGCAGCAGUGGGGAAUUUUGGACAAUGGGGGCAACCCUGAUCCAGCCAUGCCGCGUGAGUGAAGAAGGCCUUCGGGUUGUAAAGCUCUUUCAGCCGGAACGAAACGGUCACGGUUAAUACCCGUGACUACUGACGGUACCGGAAGAAGAAG
Molecule: ribosomal RNA, 324 nt
Filed under: uncultured beta proteobacterium
Lineage: Bacteria; Pseudomonadati; Pseudomonadota; Betaproteobacteria
Description: bacterial SSU rRNA
Rfam family: Bacterial small subunit ribosomal RNA
Source: RNAcentral